Papaver somniferum (opium poppy) is the source of this 193-nucleotide long non-coding RNA. RefSeq lists it as uncharacterized. Lineage: Eukaryota; Viridiplantae; Streptophyta; Magnoliopsida; Ranunculales; Papaveraceae. The record is from RefSeq and is a predicted model, not a curated record. The transcript is spliced from 3 exons.
UGGGAACUCCGGUUUGCAAAAAAAGAAGAUAUAAAGAUCAACCUCAUGAUUGGUGGAUUACAUAUGGAGGAAUCGAUACCCCAAACCUACAAAAAUUUGCAAUAAGGGUAUUGAGUCUUACUUGUUCUGCUUCCCCGUGUGAGCGAAACUGGAGCACAUUUCAGAAUUUGCAUUCAAAGAAGCGAAAUCGCAU